CCUACGGGAGGCAGCAGUGGGGAAUAUUGCACAAUGGGGGAAACCCUGAUGCAGCGACGCCGCGUGAGUGAAGAAGUAUUUCGGUAUGUAAAGCUCUAUCAGCAGGGAAGAAAAUGACGGGACCUGUUUACGCAGCACCGGCUAACUACGGGCCAGCAGCCGCGGGAAUACGUCGGGCGCAAGCGUUAUCCGGAUUUACUGGGUGUAAAGGGAGCGUAGACGGCAGCACAAGUCUGGAGUGAAAUGCCGGGGCUUAACCCCGGAACUGCUUUGGAAACUGUGCAGCUUGAGUGCAGGAGAGGUAAGUGGAAUUCCUGGUGUAGCGGUGAAAUGCGUAGAGAUUAGGAGGAACACCAGUGGCGAAGGCGGCUUACUGGACUGUAACUGACGUUGAGGCUCGAAAGCGUGGGGAGCAAACAGGAUUAGAUACCCUGGUAGUC
RNAcentral lists this ribosomal RNA (440 nucleotides) under uncultured bacterium. Its description in RNAcentral is "partial 16S ribosomal RNA". It matches the Rfam family "Bacterial small subunit ribosomal RNA", at positions 338 to 795 of the family's 1533-position model. The record is from RNAcentral.